GUGCCAGCCGCCGCGGUAAUACCGGCAGCCCGAGUGAUGGCCGAUCUUAUUGGGCCUAAAGCGUCCGUAGCUGGCUGCGCAAGUCCGUCGGGAAAUCCACUCGCCCAACGAGUGGGCGUCCGACGGAAACUGCACAGCUUGGGACCGGAAGGCUCGAAGGGUACGUUCGGGGUAGGAGUGAAAUCCCGUAAUCCCGAACGGACCACCGAUGGCGAAAGCAUCUCGAGAAAACGGAUCCGACAGUGAGGGACGAAAGCUAGGGUCUCGAACCGGAUUAGAAACCCCAGUAGUCC
Molecule: ribosomal RNA, 293 nt
Filed under: uncultured bacterium
Lineage: Bacteria
Description: partial 16S ribosomal RNA
Rfam family: Archaeal small subunit ribosomal RNA
Source: RNAcentral